This 69-nucleotide transfer RNA is filed under the name Ictidomys tridecemlineatus (thirteen-lined ground squirrel). RNAcentral's name for it is "Spermophilus tridecemlineatus (thirteen-lined ground squirrel) tRNA". It matches the Rfam family "tRNA". From Rfam's summary of the family: Transfer RNA (tRNA) molecules are approximately 80 nucleotides in length. Their secondary structure includes four short double-helical elements and three loops (D, anti-codon, and T loops). The record is from Rfam by way of RNAcentral. Lineage: Eukaryota; Metazoa; Chordata; Mammalia; Rodentia; Sciuridae.
GGGAUUGUGGCUCAGCGGUAGAGCGCUCAUCUAGCACGUGAGAAGCUCUGGGUUUGAUGCUCAGCACCA